RNAcentral lists this ribosomal RNA (328 nucleotides) under uncultured eukaryote. RNAcentral's name for it is "partial 18S ribosomal RNA". It matches the Rfam family "Eukaryotic small subunit ribosomal RNA", at positions 1470 to 1796 of the family's 1831-position model. The record is from RNAcentral.
CCCUUAGAUGUCCCGGGCCGCACGCGCGUUACACCGAUGCAUUCAACGAGCUUAUAACCUUGGCCGAGAGGCCUGGGCAAUCUUGUUAACGUGCAUCGUGAUAGGGAUAGAUUAUUGAAAUUAUUAAUCUUGAACGAGGAAUUCCUAGUAAACGCAGAUCAUCAAUCUGCAUUGAUUACGUCCCUGCCCUUUGUUCACACCGCCCGUCGCACCUACCGAUUGGAUGGUCCGGUGAAGCCUCGGGAUUGUGGUUCUUGCCGCUUUAUUGUGGCGUGACCGCGAGAACUUGUCUAAACCUUAUCAUCUAGAGGAAGGUGAAGUCGUAACA